Long non-coding RNA from Macaca fascicularis (crab-eating macaque), 2139 nucleotides. NCBI's taxonomy places the organism in Eukaryota, Metazoa, Chordata, Mammalia, Primates, Cercopithecidae. The record is from Ensembl.
CUUUUUUUUUUCUUUUUCUUUUUUUUUUUUUGAGAUGGAGUCUCGCUGUGUCUCCCAGGCUGGAGUGCAGUGGCGUGAUCUCGGCUCACUGCAAGCUCCGCCUCCUGGGUUCACGCCAUUCUCCCGCCUCAGCCUCCCAAGUAGCUGAGACUACAGGCACCCGCCACCACGCCCGGCUAGUUUUUUGUAUUUUUAGUAGAGACGGGGUUUCACCGUGUUAGCCAGGAUAGUCUCGAUCUCCUGACCUCGUGAUCCACCCGUCUCGGCCUCCCAAAGUGCUGGGAUUACAGGCUUGAGCCACCGCGCCCGGCCUGGUUUUUGUUUCUUUUGGUGUGGUUUUUUUUUCCUUUUUUUCUCUUUCUUAUUUUUUUUUUAUUUUCUUUUUCUUUCUUUCUUUCUUUCUUUCUUUCUUUCUUUCUUUUUCUUUCUCUUUCUUUCUUUCUUUCCUCCUCCUCCUCCUUCUUCUUCGUGUGGUUUUAUUUUGUUUGUUUGUUUGUUUGUUUGUUUUGUAGGGACGAGGUCUUCUGAUGUUACCCAGGUUGGUCUCAAACUCCUGGGCUCGAGCAAUCUUCCCGCCUCAGCCUCCCAGAGUGCGGGAUUACAGGCGUGAGCCACCACUUUUAGCCAAAGAGUGUAUUUUGCAUGCUAAUGAGAUGACUGGUAGGUGGGGCUCCUAGAUAGGCUCUUGUUGGGGAUUCGUUGUCAGGGGAACCAACUAGAUGACGAAGGGGUUGCACCUCUCAGCCCCAUCCCUAGACCUGCAGGGAAGGGAGAAAGGCGGAAGGUUAAGUUGAUCACCAAUGGUCAAUAAUUGAAUCAAUCUUGCCUGUGUCAUGAAACCUCCAUAAAGGACACGGUUCCAAUGAGCUUUCAAAUGACUGAAUGUAUGGAGGUUCCUGGAGAGGGUGUGGAAGCUCUGUGCCCCUUACCCCAUACCUCACCCUAUGCAUCUCUUCAUCUAUAUCCUUUAUUAUAAACCAUCAAUGUAAAUGUGUCCCUGAGUUCUGUGAGCCCUCCUAGCAAGUGAAUCAACCCGAGGAGAGGGUCAUGGGAACCCUGGUUUGUAGCCAGUCAGAAAGUUUGGGGUGGCACGGACUUGUAAUUGGCAUCUGAAGUGGAGGCAGUUUUAGUGGGGCUGAUCCUUCCACCUGUGGGAACUGACACUAUCUCCAGGUAUGUAGUGUCAUAAUUUAAUUAGAGGACGCCUAGCUGGUAUGCACUGGAGAAUCUACUGGAGGUUUGCUUGGUGGGCUGGUGGGAAGAAAUCCACACACAUUUUGGUGAGCAGGUGUGUUAUGUCUUAUUGAGUGGUCUCAACACAGUCUCACAUUCUCACUGGCCAGAACCAAAUGGCAUGGCCACCCUAGUCAUCGGGGUGUCUGGGAAAACAAGUGUUUCUCUUCCCAGACUUUAGAAUAGAGAAAGGCAAUGAGAAAAGAGUUGAAAUGGGUGUUGAGUGAGCCAAGCUGCAAAAAAUACCCCACAAACUAACAUCCGCCUCACAAGCUAAAUGUCACCUGCAGGGAACUGGUUAAAUAAACCAGAGAAUAUCCAGUGCAUGUUGUCCCUUAUUGUAUGGUGUGGUUAAUCUAUGAAAAGCUGUUCACUGUAUAUAUAGCAAAAAGGGCAGAUUAUAAAACAAUAUGUCCUGCAGGAUCCCAUUUUGUUAAAGAGACGUGUAUACUAUUCAUUCACAGAAAAGCCUGGAUAUACACGACAAUGUUCACUCUGGAUCUUCUUUAAACACUUCCACAUUCUAUGAUGUAUUUUUGGCAGGCAAUCACGGCUUUGUUUUAGAAUAAAGAGCAGAAAGUAAAUUUCCAUUUUUAGAUUCCCAUUGGGCCAGAAACAGGAGAUAAACUAGUCAGUUAAAAUCAACCUGAUGAUGACUUCUGCCCCCCAAGUGACCUCUAAAUGUUAGCUGUAAAACUUUCUGGGUUGAGUCAAAGCCAAGUUUAAAGGGAAAACCAUAAAUAAGCCAUUUUGGAAAAUACAGCUAUUGGCAAUCUGUUACAUUUCACUUGUAUUUCUAAGAGGACAAACUCCAGCACAUCCCCAGUUGCCUGACUAAAGCUCACUUGGUAAAACAAAGUGAUAAUUAUCUCAGGAACAGCCUCAGCACACAAUCAUGUAGAACCU